AGUAUUCAGCUCAAUAGUAAUAUUUUUUGGCCACACCCUAAGCAACUGAAUACCUCCAAAAGUAGACUUUGUACCCGUAGAAUGUCUGAAAGUCGUGGGAGAAGCAGAGAAACUCUGGUCUAGUAACAACAGGAGCCAAUGAUGUCACGCUUCAUGAAGUAUGUCAAACCCAGGUUUAAGAGGAAGUAUUGCUGUAAAUCAUUUUGGGUCUAAAAGGAAACACGCAAUAAUGUGGCUGUGAUGGUGCAUUCCAGGCUGGGGUAGAGCUCACAGAACAAAGAUUCAAGCACUACCUGGAUAGUUUCCUGCAAACUCUAAUUUCUCUUGUUCUUCACAGAAAUGGGAAUUAAAUUAAAUAUAGG
Molecule: long non-coding RNA, 362 nt
Filed under: Anser brachyrhynchus (Pink-footed goose)
Lineage: Eukaryota; Metazoa; Chordata; Aves; Anseriformes; Anatidae
Description: lncRNA (ENSABRG00000004071.1)
Source: RNAcentral